ACUGGCAGGCUAGAGUCUUGUAGAGGGGGGUAGAAUUCCAGGUGUAGCGGUGAAAUGCGUAGAGAUCUGGAGGAAUACCGGUGGCGAAGGCGGCCCCCUGGACAAAGACUGACGCUCAGGUGCGAAAGCGUGGGGAGCAAACAGGAUUAGAUACCCUGGUAGUCCACGCCGUAAACGAUGUCGAUUUGGAGGUUGUGCCCUUGAGGCGUGGCUUCCGGAGCUAACGCGUUAAAUCGACCGCCUGGGGAGUACGGCCGCAAGGUUAAAACUCAAAUGAAUUGACGGGGGCCCGCACAAGCGGUGGAGCAUGUGGUUUAAUUCGAUGCAACGCGAAGAACCUUACCUGGUCUUGACAUCCACAGAACUUUCCAGAGAUGGAUUGGUGCCUUCGGGAACUGUGAGACAGGUGCU
RNAcentral lists this ribosomal RNA (411 nucleotides) under Klebsiella pneumoniae. RNAcentral describes it as "bacterial SSU rRNA". It matches the Rfam family "Bacterial small subunit ribosomal RNA", at positions 632 to 1042 of the family's 1533-position model. Lineage: Bacteria; Pseudomonadati; Pseudomonadota; Gammaproteobacteria; Enterobacterales; Enterobacteriaceae. The record is from RNAcentral.